This is a non-coding RNA of Paramuricea clavata, 892 nucleotides long. NCBI's taxonomy places the organism in Eukaryota, Metazoa, Cnidaria, Anthozoa, Malacalcyonacea, Plexauridae. The record is from the annotation of a GenBank genome assembly.
GCACAAACUAGAAAAACAGAUCUAGAAAAGAAUGAUCUGCAAAUAUGACUACAAUCACAGUAAGAUUAGUCCGCUCCUUUGAGUAUAGAAAUAUGAAAACCAUUGUCUUACAAAACGUUGAUUUGGAUAUAUCUGUUGAGGAGUUGAAAGUUUUAGUCAGUGCAGGUAAAGUUACUUUUUUACAAAUAAACUUCGGUGAUGUAUAAUUCAGUUAAUAUAGAUACACAAUAUGACGUCAUAAUGUGGAAGAACAAAAAAUCUUAUCUAUUUGUUUUAUAUAAUAAAAAGAAAACCCCCAAAUUAAACAGAUAAAUAGCAUACUUUUUAUCCACCCAAACAUUUGGAAAUUGGAAAAAGUAGAAAUUUUACAAAUACCACACGUACAUGAUCUAUACAAAUAGAGCGUCGACCAAUAGGUUUUGGCACGCUUUAGCUUAACAGCAUUUGUGCCGGCCGUUAAGGGGGAGGGGGUCGUAUGCCGUUAAAAUUACUUUUCCGUGAUGAAAACUUGCCUUAUAUGUAUUUUCGUGUUGAGAUUCUUUGCUUAUAACAGGCGAAAAUUGACCAAUUCCUUUCAUAUCCCAUCAAAUAUUAUGUUUUGGGGAUUGGUGGGGCUUACACGAGCGCCGAAGGCAUGAGACUGCUUGGGGUGUCUGUGGCCUCUGCAAUGGCCGCAAAUGCUUCUAAAUUAUAUUUAAUGGUUAUCGGAAAAUAGUAGGUAUUUUUUUGUGUCUAAGUUAUUCAAUUUGGGCCAAACAUUUGUACUGUUCACACAACUAAAAUAUAUCCGAAAUUAAGAAACUAACUACGGAAAAAUUAUUGGUUAGGCUAAAGCCCAGCGAGCCACCCUGCUUUGCGGUCCCUGUAUUUUAUACUCCCCGUUCACAAUGCG